UCAUUUAGAGGAAGGAGAAGUCGUAACAAGGUUUCCGUAGGUGAACCUGCGGAAGGAUCAUUGUCGAAACCUGCAAAGCAGAAAGACCAGCGGACCCAUUACAACACCCAGGGGUGACCCCAACCCCUGACGCUGAGUGUGUGCGGCCCUGCCUUGCGCCCUCAGCAUAAAACGAACCCAGGCGCGGAACGCGUCAAGGAAUCAUAACGAAACGAGCUCCUGCCGUGGCCCCGGGGACGGUGAUCGCCGCAGCAGCUGUGUUGUGCUUGGUUAAGUCUAAAAUGACUCUCGGCAACGGAUAUCUCGGCUCUCGCAUCGAUGAAGAACGUAGCGAAAUGCGAUACUUGGUGUGAAUUGCAGAAUCCCGUGAACCAUCGAGUCUUUGAACGCAAGUUGCGCCUGAAGCCAUCAGGCUGAGGGCACGUCUGCCUGGGCGUCAAACACCGAUGCCCCCCCAAAUCCCCUCGUCACUCUCCCCUGAGUGCCCGGGGAGUGUGGGGGUCGGAUGAUGGCCUCCCGUGUCUUGGCUCGCGGUUGGCCCAAAGUCGAGUCCUCGGUCACGGUUACCGUGGUGACAGGUGGUUGUCGGUCGCUCGGUACCCCGUCACGUGCGCCGGACACGAAUCGAGACUCUCUUGAUUACCCCAACGCAUCCCCGUGUGGGUGCCUCUGAUGUGACCCCAGGUCAGGCGGGGCUACCCGCUGAGUUUAAGCAUAUC
This 719-nucleotide unclassified non-coding RNA is filed under the name Morus cathayana. Its description in RNAcentral is "partial contains small subunit ribosomal RNA, internal transcribed spacer 1, 5.8S ribosomal RNA, internal transcribed spacer 2, and large subunit ribosomal RNA". The stretch from base 284 to 439 matches the Rfam family "5.8S ribosomal RNA". Lineage: Eukaryota; Viridiplantae; Streptophyta; Magnoliopsida; Rosales; Moraceae. The record is from RNAcentral.